Molecule: ribosomal RNA, 582 nt
Filed under: Cystobasidium laryngis
Lineage: Eukaryota; Fungi; Basidiomycota; Cystobasidiomycetes; Cystobasidiales; Cystobasidiaceae
Description: eukaryotic LSU rRNA
Rfam family: 5.8S ribosomal RNA (bases 164-317)
Source: RNAcentral
CCGUAGGUGAACCUGCGGAAGGAUCAUUAAUGAAUUUUAGGACUCUCUUUUUAGAGGUCCGACCCUUUCAUUUCCAUACACUGUGCACACACUUCUUUUCACACAUUUUAACACUAUAGUAUAAGAAUGUAACAGUCUCUUUAUUGAGCAUAAAUAAAAAUAAAACUUUCAGCAACGGAUCUCUUGGCUCUCGCAUCGAUGAAGAACGCAGCGAAUUGCGAUAAGUAAUGUGAAUUGCAGAAUUCAGUGAAUCAUCGAAUCUUUGAACGCACCUUGCACUCUUUGGUAUUCCGAAGAGUAUGUCUGUUUGAGUGUCAUGAAACUCUCAACCCCCCUGUUUUGUAAUGAGAUGGGCGUGGGCUUGGAUUAUGACUGUUGUCGGCGUAAUUGCCGGCUCAGUUGAAAUAUACGAGCAACCCAUUUGAAAUAAACGGCUUGACUCGGCGUAAUAAUUAUUUCGCUGAGGACGUUUUCUUCAAAAGUUAGAGGUGCUUCUAAUGCGCUAUUACAGCACUUUAAAUUUUAGACCUCAAAUCAGUCAGGACUACCCGCUGAACUUAAGCAUAUCAAUAAGCGGAGGAA